This 253-nucleotide ribosomal RNA is filed under the name uncultured bacterium. Its description in RNAcentral is "partial 16S ribosomal RNA". It matches the Rfam family "Bacterial small subunit ribosomal RNA", at positions 524 to 776 of the family's 1533-position model. The record is from RNAcentral.
UACGGGGGGGGCAAGCGUUGUUCGGAAUUACUGGGCGUAAAGGGCUCGUAGGCGGCCAACUAAGUCAGACGUGAAAUCCCUCAGCUUAACUGGGGAACUGCGUCUGAUACUGGAUGGCUUGGAUUCGGGAGAGGAAUGCGGAAUUCCAGGUGUAGCGGUGAAAUGCGUAGAUAUCCGGAGGAACACCAGUGGCGAAAGCGGCCGCCUGGACUGCACCUGACGCUGACACGCGAAAGCUAGGGGAGCGAACGGG